Molecule: ribosomal RNA, 1461 nt
Filed under: uncultured marine eukaryote
Lineage: Eukaryota
Description: bacterial SSU rRNA
Rfam family: Bacterial small subunit ribosomal RNA
Source: RNAcentral
GAGUUUGAUCAUGGCUCAGGAUGAACGCUGGCGGUAUGCCUAACACAUGCAAGUCGAACGAAAGUUUUUAACUUUAGUGGCGAACGGGUGCGUAACACGUGAGAAUCUGCCCUUGGGAGGAGGAUGUUGUUUAUUUUAACAUAACACUCCAUAUGUCGAGAGAUAAAAUAUUUAUUGCCUAAGGAUGAGCUCACGCCUGAUUAGCUAGUUGGUGAGGUAAUAGCUCACCAAGGCCACGAUCAGUAGCUGGUUUGAGAGAAUGAUCAGCCACACUGGGACUGAGACACGGCCCAGACUCCUCUAGGAGGCAGCAGUGAGGAAUCUUCCGCAAUGGGCGAAAGCCUGACGGAGCAAUACCGCGUGAAGGAUGAAGGAUUUUGGUCUGUAAACUUCUUUUUUCAAGAAAGAAAUUUUGACGGUACUUGAAGAAUAAGCAUCGGCUAACUCCGUGCCAGCAGCCGCGGUAAUACGGGGGAUGCAAGCGUUAUCCGGAAUCAUUGGGUGUAAAGCGCCUGUAGGUUGUUUGAUAAGUCUGUUGUCAAAGCCUAGGGCUUAACCCUAGAAAAGCGAUGGAAACUACCAGACUAGAGUAUGGAAGGGGUAGAGGGAAUUUCUAGUGUAGCGGUGAAAUGCGUAGAUACUAGAAAGAACACCAGAGGCGAAAGCGCUCUACUGGGCCAGUACUGACACUCAGAGGCGAAAGCUAGGGUAGCAAAAGGGAUUAGAUACCCCCGUAGUCCUAGCCGUAAACGAUGGAUACUAGAUGUUGUGGGUUACUUACAACAGAUGUUGUAGAUUAACAUGCAGUGACGAAGCUAACGCGUUAAGUAUCCCACCUGGGGAGUACGCUCGCAAGGGUGAAACUCAAAGGAAUUGACGGGGGUCUGCACAAGCGGUGGAGCAUGUGGUUUAAUUCGAUGCAACGCGAAGAACCUUACCAGGAUUUGACAUACUACAAAUCUUUUUGAGAAAAAAGAGCGCCUUCGGGAAUGUAGAUACAGGUGGUGCAUGGCUGUCGUCAGCUCGUGUCGUGAGAUGUUGGGUUAAGUCCCGCAACGAGCGCAACCCUUAUUUUUAGUUACUAACUUGUUAGGUCCUCUAGAAAGACCGCCGGUGAUAAACCGGAGGAAGGUGUGGAUGACGUCAAGUCAUCAUGCCCCUUACACCCUGGGCUACACACGUACUACAAUGCUACGGACAAAGGGCGGCAAACUCGCGAGAGCUAGCAAAUCCCAUAAACCGUGGCUCAGUUCAGAUCGUAGGCUGCAACUCGCCUACGUGAAGUAGGAAUCGCUAGUAAUCGCAGGUCAGCAUACUGCGGUGAAUACGUUCCCGGGCCUUGUACACACCGCCCGUCACACCAUGGAAGUUGGCCAUGCCCGAAGUCGUUACUCCAACCCUUGUGGAGGAGGACGCCGAAGGUGGGGCUAAUGACUGGGGUGAAGUCGUAACAAGGUAACC